AACGUACGCUGGCGGCACGCCUAACACAUGCAAGUCGAACGAAGUAGCAAUACUUAGUGGCAGACGGGUGAGUAACAUGUAGGUAUCUGCCCUUUGGCCUGGAAUAACACGAGGAAACUUGUGCUAAUACCGGAUAAGUCUUUACGGAGAAAGCUUUAUGCACCAUUGGAUGAGCCUGCACUUGAUUAGUUUGUUGGUGGGGUAAUGGCCUACCAAGACUGUGAUCAAUAGCUGAUUUGAGAGGAUGAUCAGCCACAUUGGGACUGAGACACGGCCCAAACUCCUACGGGAGGCAGCAGUGGGGAAUCUUGCACAAUGGAGGAAACUCUGAUGCAGCGAUGCCGCGUGAGUGAAGAAGGCCCUUGGGUUGUAAAGCUCUUUCGUCGGGGAAGAAAAUGACUGUACCCGAAUAAGAAGGUCCGGCUAACUUCGUGCCAGCAGCCGCGGUAAUACGAAGGGACCUAGCGUAGUUCGGAAUUACUGGGCUUAAAGAGUUCGUAGGUGGUUGAAAAAGUUAGUGGUGAAAUCCCAGAGCUUAACUCUGGAACUGCCAUUAAAACUUUUCAGCUAGAGUAUGAUAGAGGAAAGCAGAAUUUCUAGUGUAGAGGUGAAAUUCGUAGAUAUUAGAAAGAAUACCAAUUGCGAAGGCAGCUUUCUGGAUCAUUACUGACACUGAGGAACGAAAGCAUGGGUAGCGAAGAGGAUUAGAUACCCUCGUAGUCCAUGCCGUAAACGAUGUGUGUUAGACGUUGGAAAUUUAUUUUCAGUGUCGCAGCGAAAGCGAUAAACACACCGCCCUGGGGAGUACGACCGCAAGGUUAAAACUCAAAUGAAUUGACGGGGACCCGCACAAGUAGUGGAGCAUGUGGUUUAAUUCGAAGAUACGCGCAGAACCUUACCAACACUUGACAUGUUCGUCGCGACUCUAAGAGAUUAAAAGUUUUCCGGUUCGGCCGGACGAA
RNAcentral lists this ribosomal RNA (962 nucleotides) under uncultured bacterium. Its description in RNAcentral is "bacterial SSU rRNA". It matches the Rfam family "Bacterial small subunit ribosomal RNA", at positions 28 to 1031 of the family's 1533-position model. The record is from RNAcentral.